Molecule: ribosomal RNA, 209 nt
Filed under: uncultured bacterium
Lineage: Bacteria
Description: partial 16S ribosomal RNA
Rfam family: Bacterial small subunit ribosomal RNA
Source: RNAcentral
UACGUAGGAGGCAAGCGUUGUCCGGAAUCACUGGGCGUAAAGAGCGUGUAGGCGGUCUGCCAAGUCUGUUGUGAAAGCGCCUGGCUUAACUGGGCGAGGUCGACGGAAACUGGCAAACUGGAGGCCGGUAGAGGAGGGUGGAAUUCCCGGUGUAGUGGUGAAAUGCGUAGAGAGUCGGGAGGAACACCAGUCGGCGAAGGCGGCCCUCU